This 243-nucleotide long non-coding RNA is filed under the name Lathyrus oleraceus (garden pea). Its description in RNAcentral is "Pisum sativum (pea) long non-coding RNA (PSAT_LNC033939)". The record is from RNAcentral. Lineage: Eukaryota; Viridiplantae; Streptophyta; Magnoliopsida; Fabales; Fabaceae.
GAUCUACGACAUAAAUAAUUGAAGAAAUAGGUUAGAAAAAAUUGGUGAAUGAUGACUUAUGAUGUUUUUGUUACUUUGCAGGACAUGGGAUCUUAAAGUGAGAAAGACUCUCAAAUGUUGGAAUUAGAGUUGAAGCCAAUGGUGGACAUCCGGGUGCCAUGGUCCUUCUAAAUUUUCAAUACUCCAUCUGUUUUACAAUGACUGUCGUUUUAAAGAAAAAUAAUUGUUUUAAAAUGAAUGUUA